AGUAAUGUCUGGGAAACUGCCCGAUGGAGGUUGAUAACUACUGGAAACGGUAGCUAAUACCGCAUAACGUCGCAAGACCAAAGUGGGGGACCUUCGGGCCUCACACCAUCGGAUGUGCCCAGAUGGGAUUAGCUAGUAGGUGGGGUAAUGGCUCACCUAGGCGACGAUCCCUAGCUGGUCUGAGAGGAUGACCAGCCACACUGGAACUGAGACACGGUCCAGACUCCUACGGGAGGCAGCAGUGGGGAAUAUUGCACAAUGGGCGCAAGCCUGAUGCAGCCAUGCCGCGUGUAUGAAGAAGGCCUUCGGGUUGUAAAGUACUUUCAGCGGGGAGGAAGGCGGUGAAGUUAAUAGCUUCACCGAUUGACGUUACCCGCAGAAGAAGCACCGGCUAACUCCGUGCCAGCAGCCGCGGUAAUACGGAGGGUGCAAGCGUUAAUCGGAAUUACUGGGCGUAAAGCGCACGCAGGCGGUCUGUCAAGUCGGAUGUGAAAUCCCCGGGCUUAACCUGGGAACUGCAUUCGAAACUGGCAGGCUAGAGUCUUGUAGAGGGGGGUAGAAUUCCAGGUGUAGCGGUGAAAUGCGUAGAGAUCUGGAGGAAUACCGGUGGCGAAGGCGGCCCCCUGGACAAAGACUGACGCUC
RNAcentral lists this ribosomal RNA (643 nucleotides) under uncultured bacterium. RNAcentral's name for it is "bacterial SSU rRNA". It matches the Rfam family "Bacterial small subunit ribosomal RNA", at positions 109 to 748 of the family's 1533-position model. The record is from RNAcentral.